GAAUCAAAAUAAAAUGGUGCUAAAAUGGAUGUUAUUUUCAACUGUGCACUCAGUAAUUGCAAAUAGUUGUACUAUAUACCUGGGGGUGAACACAAAGGAAGUAGUUGCAUCAUCUCUGUAUAAAACACAGAUUUAUCUUUCGUGUAGUUGUGCAUUACGUAGAAUAUGGUAAGGCAACAUCUGAGUUGUAGAAGUGCUACUGGAGUAACAGAGGUGAGGAAUCGGUUCUGCUCAAGGGAGAGGACUGGAGAAGAGACCUAGAGGGGAGAGUGGACCUUGAAGAACUGAUUGGAUUUCUCCUGUUGGGGAAUGUGAAUCAUAAAGCUGAGGUAGGGGGAACAAGUAUGAGGCUGGCAAGUAGUCGGUUUGGCAGGAGCACAGAGUGCCUGCAGGGAGGGCCAUGGGAGAUCAAGCUGGGAAUGUAGAAAGGAAUUUUAACUUGAUAAAUUUUGACUAGGUAACAGGUUCUUUUAUCAAGGAGUGACAUUUUAUGUCACAAAAAUUUUUAAACCAUUUCUGUCUCUUGGAAAACCCAAAGGUAGCAGUGGCAUGUGAAAAAUUCUUGUUUUAAAAGAUUCAAACAAUAAAGAAACAUGUAGAAUAUUUUGUGUCCGUACAUUUUAUGUUUAGGAGUUGAAUAUUAAUUUGUAAUUAAUAGAAUGGAGAAAAGCAAUCAGUUAAUUAGAAUUCACUUUAUAGGAAUGAAAUCUAGGCUUAAAGUGUGAGAAUAAUCUGUCUUGCUUUGUUGAAAGUGACCUUGGUAUUCGAAGACAGAGCUGCUCACUACUGUCAGUAAGACGUAUAUCUUAAAUUGAUUAAGGCUAGGUAAUCAGUUUGUGAGGAUUCAUUCUUAACGCUUGUGCCAUUGGCAGGCAUAUUUUAGGUGCUGUCUCUUGGGCCAUAAAUUAGUGACACUGAGUGCUGUGGAUUUACCCAAAUAACCUCUUUAAUAUUUGCUACUGUUAGGUGUAAUUAGAAGAUACAUGAAAGAGGCAGGGUGUGGUGGCUUAUGCUUGUAAUCCUAGCACUUUGGGAGGCUGAGGCAGGUGGAUCAACAUGGCGAAAUCCCAUCUCUACCAAAAAUACAAAAAAUUAGCCAGGCGUGGUGGCACCCGCUGCACCUGUAUCAGCUAUUCAGGAGGCCAAGGUGGGAGGAUCACUUGAGCCCUGGAGGCAGAGAUUGCAGUAAGCCAGGAUCUCAGGAUCGUGCCACUGCACUCCAGCCUUGGAGACAGAGAGAGACUCCAUCUCGGGGUGGGGGGAAAAAAAAGAGAAAAAGUGAGAGAGCCUGGACAACAUAACAAGAGCCUGUCUCUACAAAAAUAAAAUUAAAAAAAAAUUAGCCAGGUGUGAUGCCACAUGCCUGUAGUCCUAGCUACUUGCAAGCCUAAGGUGGGAGGAUCCAUUGAGCCCAGGAGUUCAAGGCUGCAGUGAGCUGUGAUGUUGCCGCUACACUCCAGGUGACAGAGCAAGACCCUAAGACCUUAUCUCUU
RNAcentral lists this long non-coding RNA (1493 nucleotides) under Homo sapiens (human). RNAcentral describes it as "non-protein coding lnc-KBTBD6-1:1". Lineage: Eukaryota; Metazoa; Chordata; Mammalia; Primates; Hominidae. The record is from RNAcentral.